GGGGGGGGGGGGGGGGGGGGGGGGGGGGGGGGGGGCGGGCGGGGGGGCCGCGUUGGGGGGGUGCUCGGGUGGCGAACGGGUGGGUAACACGUGAGUAGCCUGCCCUUGACUUUGGGAUAACUUCAGGAAACUGGGGCUAAUACCGGCUAGGAGCUCCUGCUGCGUGGUGGGGGUUGGAGAGUUUCGGCGGUUGGGGCUGGACUCGCGGCUUAUCAGCUUGUUGGUGGGGUAGUGGCUUACCAAGGCUUUGACGGGUAGCCGGCCUGAGAGGGUGACCGGCGACAUUGGGACUGAGAUACGGCCCAGACUCCUACGGGAGGCAGCAGUGGGGAAUAUUGCACAAGGGGUGGAAGCCUGAUGCAGCAACGCCGUGUGCGGGAUGACGGCCUUCGGGUUGUAAACCGCUUUCGCUCAUGACGAAGCUUUGUGUGACGGUAGUGGGUAAAGAAGCACCGGCUAACUACGUG
This 467-nucleotide ribosomal RNA is filed under the name uncultured bacterium. RNAcentral describes it as "partial 16S ribosomal RNA". The stretch from base 51 to 467 matches the Rfam family "Bacterial small subunit ribosomal RNA", at positions 34 to 507 of the family's 1533-position model. The record is from RNAcentral.